CCUUGCCGGCUCGACUAGAGUAACUCGCCACAGGGUUUCUGGAAUUCCAGGAAGUGCGCGCACCAUAAACAAGUAUAUCAAGUCAAUUGCAACAAUAAACAAGUAUAUCACGUAAGGGCAAGUGCGAUAAAGUACACUCUUGCCCUUACAAUUCACGUAUAUAACAUGUAAUCAGAUUGGUCACGUAUCAAGUUCAAGUAUCAAGUUCAAUUCGGUAUUUGAAAGCACUCACC
RNAcentral lists this long non-coding RNA (233 nucleotides) under Coffea arabica (coffee). Its description in RNAcentral is "long non-coding RNA (CARA_LNC005622)". The record is from RNAcentral. Lineage: Eukaryota; Viridiplantae; Streptophyta; Magnoliopsida; Gentianales; Rubiaceae.